UGGACGGAAUUCUGAUAAGGGA
This 22-nucleotide microRNA is filed under the name Magallana gigas (Pacific oyster). Its description in RNAcentral is "Mgi-Mir-184-P9_3p (mature (co-guide))". The record is from RNAcentral. Lineage: Eukaryota; Metazoa; Mollusca; Bivalvia; Ostreida; Ostreidae.